AUGAACGCUGGCGGCGUGCCUAAUACAUGCAAGUCGAGCGAACGGACGAGAAGCUUGCUUCUCUGAUGUUAGCGGCGGACGGGUGAGUAACACGUGGAUAACCUACCUAUAAGACUGGGAUAACUUCGGGAAACCGUAGCUAAUACCGGAUAAUAUUUUGAACCGCAUGGUUCAAAAGUGAAAGACGGUCUUGCUGUCACUUAUAGAUGGAUCCGCGCUGCAUUAGCUAGUUGGUAAGGUAACGGCUUACCAAGGCAACGAUGCAUAGCCGACCUGAGAGGGUGAUCGGCCACACUGGAACUGAGACACGGUCCAGACUCCUACGGGAGGCAGCAGUAGGGAAUCUUCCGCAAUGGGCGAAAGCCUGACGGAGCAACGCCGCGUGAGUGAUGAAGGUCUUCGGAUCGUAAAACUCUGUUAUUAGGGAAGAACAUAUGUGUAAGUAACUGUGCACAUCUUGACGGUUCCUAAUCAGAAAGCCACGGCUAACUACGUG
This 496-nucleotide ribosomal RNA is filed under the name uncultured bacterium. RNAcentral's name for it is "partial 16S ribosomal RNA". It matches the Rfam family "Bacterial small subunit ribosomal RNA", at positions 29 to 507 of the family's 1533-position model. The record is from RNAcentral.